Molecule: long non-coding RNA, 535 nt
Filed under: Fukomys damarensis (Damara mole-rat)
Lineage: Eukaryota; Metazoa; Chordata; Mammalia; Rodentia; Bathyergidae
Description: lncRNA (ENSFDAG00000026469.1)
Source: RNAcentral
CAGCAGAGUGUGGUGCUUUUCCAGUUUGUAAAUCAGGGCGGGCCCUUCGCGUUGCUGCUGUUUACACUUUAAAGUCAUUUUAAAUUUUUACUUCAGAAUAGUUUUAGUUUUCAGUCAUCCGGGCGCCCAGGAGUGGCUAAAUAUGCUUCCUCAUUACUUCUGUGAUCACUGAGGGUGCCCGCGACUGGAGGAAGUUACGUUCUGGCUUUUGGGCCUCACAGUCACAUUGGGAAUAUUGUCCUCCUGCUGUAAUUUCUGGAGUCCCUAAGUGCAGGCUGGAGCAGCUUUAACAGGUUGUCAUUUAAUAUGGUGGGAAAUAUACACGUGUCAGGAGACUUCCCAGCCGGAGACGCCUUCCUGUGCCUCCACCUGCUUUAAUUCACGCGCUUUACACUCAAGGGACCGGUCCUUUAGCAAACUGUGCCUGACUCUCCUCGCCCAGGGGCCGGUAAAGCGUUUAUGGCCUGGAUUGCAUAGGAAAAGGUAAAUUAGUGAUACAGCUACAUACACAUUUCUUUACAUUGCAUGAAACACC